This 1502-nucleotide long non-coding RNA is filed under the name Cricetulus griseus (Chinese hamster). RNAcentral describes it as "lncRNA (ENSCGRG00015029340.1)". Lineage: Eukaryota; Metazoa; Chordata; Mammalia; Rodentia; Cricetidae. The record is from RNAcentral.
CCACCACUAGUCCGCAUUGCAAGAUCUCUGAGGAUUACAGUUCUGUUAUCUAAGGUGUCUGCUACUCCUGUGAGCAGCAAGUAGGCAUCAUCAAAGGCUGUGACCUGGUGUCAUCAGCCACCAGCUAUGAAACCCGAAGAACAUCCUUGGGAGAGAGAGGACACCUGCCCCUUUUCGCCACUAUGAAGAGAGUGAUUGUGUGGACUGACAGAGCCUGCAAUGGCAGUAAACAAGAGCUUUGAAAGGGGAAGGAAGCCAGGAGAAAGCCAGCUCCAUUAGUCACGCAGCUGCAUAUCCUGUCACAAAGGACCCCAGUUGAGUAAUCGCCCAAAAAUAUGCCUGUUAUUUUUUUUCUGUCAGAAAAAAAUGGGGCCUGCCAAAAUGUACUGUAAAAAAAAAAAAAGAAAAAAUCUGGUCAUUCAGCCCCAGAAGGGGGAAAGAAAAUAAAGAAGAAACAGGCGCGGCUUGGAAGUGUUCUUCCAACUUUUCCCCGCUUGUCUUUGCAAGAAAAAGCUCUCAAACUGCUCAUGGGACCGAGCUUGCAGUGGUGGAGGACAGCUGGCUCCUUGGAGACCCUGCUCCCAGAGUCCUUGCUGUCAUGGGGUGCCCAGAUGUUAAGAAGGCAAUGACAAUGGAAGAAGGCAGCAGGAAGCAAGGGAGAGAGCGAAGAAAGGGAGUCCAGAGAGCAAAUAAGUCUUCUGAAGAUCCUUAUAUGAGGACUUCAGGGCUCCACCGUGAACCUGUGGCAGUCCACACCUGUUCCAAGAGCCCUGAUGAACCCUGGAGGGGCACUGACUUCCGUCCAUCAACCACACCUGCCUCACUGUCCACGGGCAGCUUUUCUAAUGGGCUCAGCAAAACCAACUUUGACUCGGGUCUAAGCCAUCUUUGUGAUGUUUGGGCUACAGAUGGAACGAGAGCAGGCAUAUAAGGAUAUCUGACUUGGGGACAGGCUGAAGAAUUGAGGCUCAAAAUCCAGCAAGGAUACAUGCAUCUCAGCUACUGAGGCAGGAGGAUUAUUUGAGCUUAUGAAUUCAAGGUUCAAAAGGGCUAGGUGUUCUGCAAGGUGGUUCAGUGAGUAAAGGCUUAGCACUAAAACUGAGGACCUGAGUUCCAUCGCCGGGAUCCACAUGGUGUAAGGAAACAACCAACUGCCAUGGCAACCUAAAACAUCUUAAAAAGUCAUGUGAUUUUUAAAUUUUUAAGAGAGAAGAAAAGACCAAGUGGUGGUGGCACACGACUUUAGUCCCAGCACUGAGCAGGCAGAAGCAGGAGGAUCUCUGUGAGUUCGAGACCAGCCUGGUCUACAGAGGAGCAGCCGAGGAGACCUUUGCAGGAACUAGCAUCCAGCUAUGCAGCUACUCCCUCCUCAGCCCAAAGACCAAGCUCGGGUCCCCUGCAGAUUGCUGUAGAAAAAAGCUCAGUUAUAUCAGAACCAGGACUUUCUUCAGCCCUUCCAUUUUUCUGAUCCUGUCUGAGGUAUCCACUCUGACCAAAGCCUG